This is a long non-coding RNA of Linepithema humile (Argentine ant), 1205 nucleotides long. RefSeq lists it as uncharacterized. The record is from RefSeq and is a predicted model, not a curated record. NCBI's taxonomy places the organism in Eukaryota, Metazoa, Arthropoda, Insecta, Hymenoptera, Formicidae.
UUAGGGUUAACGGACUCAUAUAGUAGUGAUUUAAUUAUAUUGCUUCAUAGUGAUUCGUAUAUUUAUAAUAUGUAUUAGGAUUUAAAAUGGGUGUGAUUUUAAAUUGUUCAUUAGGAAUCGUGCAUAGUGAGAAAUAAAACGGACCAUGUUUGUAACUGUUUGCCGCGUGGUUGGAGAUUGAUGUCAACAUCUCCCACGAUAUCCACCGAGAGCAAUAAAACGCUGAUGCAGGAUCCUUCGAUCGGCGAAACAGCAAGAAAAAAGGAGUCUUAGAUUUACCGGGUUUGCGAUACCAGUGUGGCCCACUUUUACCCAGUAGCCAGUCUUAUGUAACACGCUGCUCUAUCCAUCUGCUCGUGUAAAACUCCGUUAAUGGAACCCGAUGAAGAAAUGACGGAAUCCUUACCGAGAUGCACAGCGAGAGAUGUGAUAAUUCGCUAAAGUCUUAUAUGUCUUCUCGGCAUGACGUUCUCGGCAUGUUUUCCCAGCGACGAUUUUUGAAAUGAUAUAUUAUUUUUUUAAACACUCAAAUAUAUUGCACUUUCGUGUGUGAUGUCAUACAGUACAAAAAAUACGAAAUCUAUGUAAAAUAUACAUUGCACGACAUAUCGCAAAUAUAGGACACAUAACAAAUAAUUUUAGAACUUGUGUGCAAGAAAUAAAAAUCUACCUUCUGAUGAAAGCACUUUGUCGACGUCUAAGAAUGUGACAGUAGAUGAAUUAUUAUUACUUUGCCACUUGUGAGGUAAGAUCGGACCAAUACGUUGCAUAAUCCUUUAAUAUAGUUCCACUGAAACGAAACAAAAUAUCGCUGUAAGAAAUUUUUAUUAAGAUUUGAAUAUAAGUACAUCUAAUCUUUUCAUGCGAUUCAUAAAUAUCUUUAAUUUCAGAGUUAAAAUAAUAUUUUUACAUAUUUUAAACAAUAUAACUUCACGGCACUACGCGAAUUACUUUACGUACUGCUUUAUGCGACGUUAAUUGUUCAUGUCUCGAAGUUUUCCAUGGCUCAAGGCGAGGUUGCAAACCGAUAGCUUACAGUUUGUCAAUAUCUGUGCUGGGAAAUUCAACGGGUUAUUAAGAAGCUUUGCGUAUGCGUACGAUUACGGGUGACCGACUGUAUACCUGUGAUUUGAGAACUUGGUCCAUAUUGUGAAGACGAGGCCAGUAUUUUGUAAGGACUCGUGUUCAAGGGCUGCGACCGUGCC